CGCUUUUUUUACAGCAAUGGCGGCUCGUGGAGCCUCUCAAUAGUUCCCGGAAGUAGCGGCAAACCGAUGCCGCGCCGUAGAAGAUGCAGCAGAACAAACCGUUUGCGACGCACUUUUAACAGGUGGAGGAUUAGUGGUGCCACUGAAGUGUUCUGUGAUGGAGCAUCAGUGAUGAUGCAGACCCUGGUAACUGGCUGAUGGUUCACAGGAAUGCUGACUGGCUGCUGACUGACUUGCUGCAUGACUGGGCAGUGUCAGCUGUCCCUGUCUCUCCUCUCUAGCCAUGUCCUUUUUCUUCACUCUCACUUUCCUUUCUCUGAGUGUCCUCGUUCUUUUUUCCUCAACCUUUGAAACUGAUAGAAGUCUAGGGGUGCAUCGUGGAGCAGGGCCCUCCUCUUUUUGACCACAGGACGAUGUACAAAAAUUGUGGGAAUAGCAUCUGGUCUCAGCCUACUCUUGAAUUUUUUGGUCAUGACAAAUUGCAUUGCCGCAAUUUGUCUGCAUACUGACUUCAGUUUAGUUUCCACACACACCUUUUUUUUUUCUACCCACUUACAGUACAUAUCACAUGGUGGUUAAAUGCACAGUUAUAGGUAACACUGAUGACUCCCUGCAAUGUCUCACCAUGAGUCUCAGCUCCCUGGGUUUUGCAAGGCUUUGCUUGUUCCUUAUUUCUAGUAAAACAUUGUCAAUGUAAAAAGGUGCAAAUAAAUGUAAGUAUAAUUACCUAACAAUUUUUUGUUGUUGUAAUUUUUAUUUGUAUUUAGAUUGCUCCUGCUGACUUGAGCCAACCAUUAUUUUCUCCUCUCUAUGUCAGCUGGGAAGCCAUACAUUCGCACACCUUUCUCUGACCGAGUGGAGCAUCCCCAUGCAGCACAGUAAACCACGGUGGAUACUAUGCAAGGACAACAUGAAAGAAAGGACACAUACAAAAUGCUUUUCAUGCUAUUAAAUUUAUUAGAAAUGUAUUCAUGAAUUGCUGUAAAUAGUUAAUUGUAUAAUUACAAUUUAAAAUAACUGUUUUCUAUUUUAAAAUGGAAUAUACUCCUGUGAUGCCAACCUGAAUUUUCAGCAUCAUUACUUUUGAAUGGCAGUGUGCAUGUUUAUAUACGAGCAUGCUUAAGUUGUUUUAAACCUGAAUAUAUUGUGUACAUGAAUAAGUAUUGUAAGAAUUAUACUAGAUAUAAUAGGUAUAUUAUUUAUAAUACAUAAUUAUAUUACUAUAUGUAAAUGUAAGAAUUAUAAACAGUAAGCUUCAUUUUACAUUUAUUUAACAUGCUAAUUACUGCUGGUAACAGUUAAUUGACCCAUAGUGCGGUGCGAGCUGAAAAUCACCUGUCACCAGCCUGUCUCUGUACUACCUGAAAGUCAUCAAUAUGACAUGAGUUAACAUUAGAUCAGUGAAAAAAUGGACAAUAUGUAACGUAAAAAGGCAACAGCAACCCGUGUUUAUAAAACUUAACGUUAGCCUGAAAUACGUUUUUAAAAUAACGGUAAUUGAACACUAAUCCUCAAAUAUUACCCGAUUUGAUAUUUUAAAAACAACA
Molecule: long non-coding RNA, 1547 nt
Organism: Carassius gibelio (silver crucian carp)
Lineage: Eukaryota; Metazoa; Chordata; Actinopteri; Cypriniformes; Cyprinidae
Exons: 4
Source: RefSeq, a predicted model, not a curated record